UCGGGAAUUUUGGGCAAUGGGGGAAACCCUGACCCAGCAACGCCGCGUGAAGGAUGAAGUAUUUCGGUAUGUAAACUUCGAAAGAAUAGGAAGAAUAAAUGACGGUACUAUUUAUAAGGUCCGGCUAACUACGUGCCAGCAGCCGCGGUAAUACGUAGGGACCAAGCGUUGUUCGGAUUUAUUGGGUUUAAAGGGUGCGUAGGCGGUUCUAUAAGUCAGUGGUGAAAUACUCCGGCUCAACCGGAGAGGUGCCAUUGAUACUGCAGAACUUGAGUACAGACGAGGUAGGCGGAAUUGACGGUGUAGCGGUGAAAUGCUUAGAUAUCGUCAAGAACACCGAUAGCGAAGGCAGCUUACUAGACUGUAACUGACGCUGAGGCACGAAAGUGUGGGGAUCAAACAGGAUUAGAUACCCUAGUAGUCCCUGAGCGGGCUGGCAAGGCGCAU
This 447-nucleotide ribosomal RNA is filed under the name uncultured bacterium. RNAcentral describes it as "bacterial SSU rRNA". It matches the Rfam family "Bacterial small subunit ribosomal RNA", at positions 355 to 825 of the family's 1533-position model. The record is from RNAcentral.